UGGCCCAUAGAAGGCCCAUCAAUUGUUCUGUGUAGGGCGGGAAGCGGAUUGGAUGAUUCCGGACUGAUCCUGACAGCAUCCAAACGAUGGCGUUUAGUAGGAGCAUGUGUUUAUCCGGAGGCUAAUUCAAACCAGUAAGGACUAAGGAGCAGCUUGUUGUCACAGUUCAGUUCAGAUAUCGCCAUAUCGGAGCUCAGAAGAGAACCCAAAUAAAACUUUGAUGGCUACACCUCCAGCUCAAGCUCAUCCGUCGCUCCUUCUUUCGAAUCCUGCGCCGCAGCUGCAAAUCUUCUUCACUCUCCGGAGACAGACCGUCUCCGUUCACGGCAGAGCAAGAGCGACCAGGUUCAAAUGCUCGGCGGCAACGGGGACGGGGUUCU
Molecule: long non-coding RNA, 380 nt
Filed under: Linum usitatissimum (flax)
Lineage: Eukaryota; Viridiplantae; Streptophyta; Magnoliopsida; Malpighiales; Linaceae
Description: long non-coding RNA (LUSI_LNC001360)
Source: RNAcentral